GAUGAACGCUAGCUACAGGCUUAACACAUGCAAGUCGAGGGAAACGAUAGAGGAAGCUUGCUUUUUUUAGGCGUCGACCGGCGCACGGGUGAACAACGCGUAUUCAACCUGCCCAUCACUUGGGGAUAACCUUGCGAAAGUAAGACUAAUACCCAAUGAUAUCACUAGAAGACCACUGAAGGAGAUUAAAGGUUUAUCGGUUAUGGAUGGGGAUGCGUCCGAUUAGCUUGUUGGCGGGGUAACGGCUCACCAAGGCGACGAUCAGUAGGGGUUCUGAGAGGAAGGUCCCCCACAUUGGAACUGAGACACGGUCCAAACUCCUACGGGAGGCAGCAGUGAGGAAUAUUGGUCAAUGGACGAGAGUCUGAACCAGCCAAGUAGCGUGCAGGAUAACGGCCCUAUGGGUUGUAAACUGCUUUUAUAAGGGAAUAAAGUGUGAGUCGUGACUCCUUUUGCAGGUACCUUAUGAAUAAGGACCGGCUAAUUCCGUGCCAGCCGCCGCAGUAA
Molecule: ribosomal RNA, 507 nt
Filed under: uncultured bacterium
Lineage: Bacteria
Description: partial 16S ribosomal RNA
Rfam family: Bacterial small subunit ribosomal RNA
Source: RNAcentral